This 249-nucleotide ribosomal RNA is filed under the name uncultured bacterium. RNAcentral's name for it is "partial 16S ribosomal RNA". It matches the Rfam family "Bacterial small subunit ribosomal RNA", at positions 15 to 254 of the family's 1533-position model. The record is from RNAcentral.
GAUCCUGGCUCAGGACGAACGCUGGCGGCGUGCCUAAUACAUGCAAGUUGAGCGCUGAAGACUGGUACUUGUACCGGUUGGAUGAGCAGCGAACGGGUGAGUAACGCGUGGGUAACCUGCCCUAUAGAGGGGGAUAACUAGAGGAAACUUUAGCUAAUACCGCAUAAAAUCUAAUAACACAUGUUAUAAGAUUGAAAGUGCCAACUGGUACACUAUAGGAUGGACCCGCGUUGUAUUAGCUAGUUGGUG